GGCAACCUGGCCGAGUGGUCUAAGGCGCUAGAUUUAGGCUCUAGUCUUUCGGGGCGUGAGUUCGAAUCUCACGGUUGUCA
This 80-nucleotide transfer RNA is filed under the name Cylindrobasidium torrendii FP15055 ss-10. Its description in RNAcentral is "tRNA-Leu (TAG) (tRNA-Leu-TAG-1-1, tRNA-Leu-TAG-1-2)". It matches the Rfam family "tRNA". Rfam says of the family: Transfer RNA (tRNA) molecules are approximately 80 nucleotides in length. Their secondary structure includes four short double-helical elements and three loops (D, anti-codon, and T loops). Lineage: Eukaryota; Fungi; Basidiomycota; Agaricomycetes; Agaricales; Physalacriaceae. The record is from RNAcentral.